Astyanax mexicanus (Mexican tetra) is the source of this 1318-nucleotide long non-coding RNA. RefSeq lists it as uncharacterized. NCBI's taxonomy places the organism in Eukaryota, Metazoa, Chordata, Actinopteri, Characiformes, Acestrorhamphidae. The transcript is spliced from 3 exons. The record is from RefSeq and is a predicted model, not a curated record.
GAAUGCUCCCUGUUGCAUCCAGAUACACAAUGUCCUCUUUUGAACGUUUGUGGAAAAUGUCAAUGCUUUUCUUGGACCAGAGCAUUACCCCUUUAGGGAGCAGGGAUACUUUUUGUAGCACCUCACAAGGAGAUAGACUUCAGAACACCAGGAGUUGGAGCUUCAUCCCUGCAUCCAGACUCAAGAACAGAAGUCUUUAAUUUAUGCAUGUUUUCUAGAUACAGAGCUCUUGGAAGCAUGUUUACAAGCUGCUGACUUAUUCUGGUUUGUUCUUCUGCUCUGACAGGUCGUCUUUUCAGCUCAGUUUUGCUGUGCACUACCAUUUCCCCUCUGAAGAACACAUGUGCUUUAAGUGUAGCUUCACUGUACACAACAACGUCUACUUCAACUGGGCAGUCACUGAAUGUACAAUACCCCGAGCAUUUAAAAAGGGAUUUCUCCAAGCUGAAUGUGGAAUGAAAAAGAAUGUUGGAGGUAAUGGAAGAUGCUGGGUAAAGAAUUCCUCCUUACUGUCAUCACUGGAAUCCUCCUCCUGCACAUCAUCCUCCUCCUGCACAUCAUCCUCCUCCUGCACAUCCUUCCCCACCUGGAUGUCUUCCACCUCCUGUACAUUAUCAAUUUCCACGCCUUUUCCCUUCUGUACAUGUACCACUUUCUCCACAUUUUCUUUCUCUGGCACAUCUUUUACCACAUGUACAUCUUCCAACUCCUGCACAUCCUCCUCCUGGAUGUCUUCCACCUCCUGCACAUCAGUAUCCUUCUCCUGCACAUCCUCCUCUUCCUGGAUGUCUUCCACCUUCUGCGCAUCUUUUACCUCCUGCACAUCUUUCAAAUUAUUCACAGCUUCUCCUGUAACUAAAUCCUAAGAAUAUAUAACAAACAUUAAUAUCAAUCAGUAUAGUGAUUAUCAGUACAGUGCUCACAGUAUAUUGUAGUUCUUGAUGUUUGGAAAAACAUAACAGAUUUCCCUUUUAUAUUUUUUAUUGUUAUACCCUGGUUGCUUCAAAACAUGUUAUGAGGAAGAACAUGACAGGUCAAAUUAUAUUUGCAUAUUACACCUAUAAAAUUGUUACAUACAAGGUUUGACCCAUACCUUACAGUGGCUGAAGUGUGCUCUUCUAAGUCGGUACCUAUUUGUUGAUGUAUUGGGUACUCCUAGGACUGUGCACAGCCCUGCCCAAAAGCCAUGAUCUUUCAGUGGAGAUUCACAUUUUCUAUGCUGUCUUGAUGAGCUCUGAAUCAACUGAAUCUGCUUGGAAAUAUCUUCUAAAGAAAUCUUCAAUUUCCUGCUCUGUUGAGUAAAAAAAUACAAUGUUUU